UACGGAGGGAGCUAGCGUUUUUCGGAAUUACUGGGCGUAAAGCGCACGUAGGCGGCUUUUUAAGUCAGGGGUGAAAUCCCGGGGCUCAACCCCGGAACUGCCUUUGAAACUGGGAAGCUAGAAUCCUGGAGAGGCGAGUGGAAUUCCGAGUGUAGAGGUGAAAUUCGUAGAUAUUCGGAAGAACACCAGUGGCGAAGGCGACUCGCUGGACAGGUAUUGACGCUGAGGUGCGAAAGCGUGGGGAGCAAACAGG
RNAcentral lists this ribosomal RNA (253 nucleotides) under uncultured bacterium. RNAcentral's name for it is "partial 16S ribosomal RNA". It matches the Rfam family "Bacterial small subunit ribosomal RNA", at positions 524 to 776 of the family's 1533-position model. The record is from RNAcentral.